GCCAUGAACGAGCAGAUCACGAAGACCGAG
RNAcentral lists this non-coding RNA (30 nucleotides) under Actinoplanes sp. SE50/110. The record is from RNAcentral. Lineage: Bacteria; Bacillati; Actinomycetota; Actinomycetes; Micromonosporales; Micromonosporaceae.